UGGGAUGAGUGAAUGUGGGCAGCCCAGU
Molecule: non-coding RNA, 28 nt
Filed under: Mus musculus (house mouse)
Lineage: Eukaryota; Metazoa; Chordata; Mammalia; Rodentia; Muridae
Source: RNAcentral